Molecule: ribosomal RNA, 196 nt
Filed under: uncultured Nitrosococcus sp.
Lineage: Bacteria; Pseudomonadati; Pseudomonadota; Gammaproteobacteria; Chromatiales; Chromatiaceae
Description: partial 16S ribosomal RNA
Rfam family: Bacterial small subunit ribosomal RNA
Source: RNAcentral
UACUCCUACGGGAGGCAGCAGUGGGGAAUAUUGGACAAUGGGCGCAAGCCUGAUCCAGCAAUGCCGCGUGUGUGAAGAAGGCCUUAGGGUUGUAAAGCACUUUCAGUAGGGAGGAAGGACUUAAUCCUAAUAUGAUUAAGUAUUGACGUUACCUACAGAAGAAGCACCGGCUAACUCUGUGCCAGCAGCCGCGGUA